Molecule: ribosomal RNA, 253 nt
Filed under: uncultured bacterium
Lineage: Bacteria
Description: partial 16S ribosomal RNA
Rfam family: Bacterial small subunit ribosomal RNA
Source: RNAcentral
UACGAAGGGGGCUAGCGUUGUUCGGAUUUACUGGGCGUAAAGCGCACGUAGGUGGAUAGUUAAGUGAGGGGUGAAAUCCCAGGGCUCAACCCUGGAACUGCCUUUCAUACUGGCUAUCUUGAGUUCGGAAGAGGUGAGUGGAAUUCCUAGUGUAGAGGUGAAAUGCGUAGAUAUUAGGAAGAACACCGGUGGCGAAGGCGGCUCACUGGUCCGAUACUGACACUGAGGUGCGAAAGCGUGGGGAGCAAACAGG